AUGCCUUGGGGGAAGGAAUCAAAAGGGUAUGUAAUAUGUAUGAUAUAUAGCUUAGCUCUAGGCAGGCAAAAGAAUGUUGUGCUUUUAAUUUGGGAUGUGAGAGCCCCUUUGACUUAAAACUUCAAACUUGUUUUAAAAGAAUUCUGUUUUGUUUAAUUCUGUCAUAAUUUAUUAAUUAAUGAAUGGCCAAUGACUUGAAUGCUGCAGAAAGGAAUUUAAUGAAGUUUGGUGAGAGGCUUUCUUCUGUUCUUCAAAGCUACAGAGAUGUUGAUAUAUCACACUAGUCUUUUACUGUAUAUCCUGAGAUACCCUUAGUAAAUGCAUGUCCUGUUAAAAUCCCCCUCUCAUUAGCCCUCUUUGUAUUUCUCUUCAAAAGAUAUAUAUAUAUAUAUCACCAUAAUCCCCCAUUCCUUUUGCCUCUUUAUCUCCCUCUCCCAAAGGUUGCCUUUGUAUGUGCUUUUGUGGGUUUUCUUGUAUAUUUGUCUUUGUUCUCUUCUGGGUUUCUCUGGUUUAUAUAUGGUUCCCAAGUUUUCCUCUCAUCAGUGAAUUCAACAGCUAUAUAUAGCUAGUAGCAGUGACUGUGUUGCAAUGAGAUUGGCUGAGAUUACACUUUUGUGCCUCUUGGUUUUGGCUUGUAUUAGAUCAAAUGCAGUUGCAAGGUCCAGCUUUUUCACUACUUUUGAUCAUCAUCAUCAUCAUCAUCAUGAUGUUGGAAAGAGGAUGAAGAGCUCAUCAUCAAAUGGAAGAGUGCCAGAAGCAGCAAAUUUCAGCCAGUACUGCAAGUCAAAGGGGCACCAGUUUUAUGAUUAUUUUUUUCACUCUAACUCUAAGAACACCACCUCAGAAAACAAAAGGGUUGUUCCCACUGGUCCCAAUCCCUUACAUAACAGGUAA
RNAcentral lists this long non-coding RNA (894 nucleotides) under Prunus dulcis (almond). RNAcentral describes it as "sRNA ncRNA". Lineage: Eukaryota; Viridiplantae; Streptophyta; Magnoliopsida; Rosales; Rosaceae. The record is from RNAcentral.